RNAcentral lists this ribosomal RNA (491 nucleotides) under uncultured bacterium. RNAcentral's name for it is "partial 16S ribosomal RNA". It matches the Rfam family "Bacterial small subunit ribosomal RNA", at positions 29 to 506 of the family's 1533-position model. The record is from RNAcentral.
AGUGAACGCUGGCGGUAGGCCUAACACAUGCAAGUCGAACGGCAGCACAGUAAGAGCUUGCUCUUACGGGUGGCGAGUGGCGGACGGGUGAGGAAUACAUCGGAAUCUACUUUUUCGUGGGGGAUAACGUAGGGAAACUUACGCUAAUACCGCAUACGACCUACGGGUGAAAGCAGGGGAUCUUCGGACCUUGCGCGAUUGAAUGAGCCGAUGUCGGAUUAGCUAGUUGGCGGGGUAAAGGCCCACCAAGGCGACGAUCCGUAGCUGGUCUGAGAGGAUGAUCAGCCACACGGGAGCUGAGACACGGUCCAGACUCAUACGGGAGGCAGCAGUGGGGAAUAUUGGACAAUGGGCGCAAGCCUGAUCCAGCCAUACCGCGGGAGUGAAGAAGGCCUUCGGGUUGUAAAGCCCUUUUGUUGGGAAAGAAAAGCAGCAGGUUAAUACCCCGCUGUUCUGACGGUACCCAAAGAAUAAGCACCGGCUAACUUCGU